AGCUUUGCGCAGUGACAGUAUCGUAGCCAAUGAAGUUUAUCCAAGGCAUGAUUAUUGCUAACAGAUAAAUUAGAUAGACUUUUUUACAUAUUCUAUGGCAGAAUAUAAUUUCAUGGUUAUUUCAGAUUUUUUCCAUAA
Ochotona princeps (American pika) is the source of this 138-nucleotide small nuclear RNA. RefSeq annotates it as U4 spliceosomal RNA. The transcript has a single exon. The record is from RefSeq and is a predicted model, not a curated record. Lineage: Eukaryota; Metazoa; Chordata; Mammalia; Lagomorpha; Ochotonidae.